RNAcentral lists this ribosomal RNA (497 nucleotides) under uncultured bacterium. RNAcentral describes it as "partial 16S ribosomal RNA". It matches the Rfam family "Bacterial small subunit ribosomal RNA", at positions 28 to 507 of the family's 1533-position model. The record is from RNAcentral.
GAUGAACGCUGGCGGCGUGCCUAAUACAUGCAAGUCGAGCGAACGGACGAGAAUCUUUCUUCUCUUAUGUUAGCGGCGGACGGGUGAGUAACACGUAGAUAACCUACAUAUCAGACUGGGAUAACUUCGGGAAACCGGAGCUAAUACCGGAUAAUAUUUUGAACCGCAUGGUUCAAAAGUGAAAUACGGUCUUUCUGUCACUUAUAGAUGUAUCCGCGCUGCAUUAGCUAGUUGGUAAGGUAACGCCUUACCAAGGCAACGAUGCAUAGCCGACCGGAGAGGGUGGUCGGCGACAUGGGAGCGGGGCCACGGUCCAGGCGCCUACGGGAGGGAGCAGUAGGGAACCUUACGCAGUGGGCGAAAGCAUGACGGAGCGGCGCCGCGUGAGUGAUGAAGGUGUUGGGAUCGUGAAGCUGUGUUAUGAGGGAAGAACAUAUGUGUAAGUGACUGUGCACAUCGUGACGGUACCUAAUGAGAAAGCAACGGCUAACUACGUG